UGUAGCUUCAACGAUGAGGCAUAUAUGUCAACUAUGGGUGUUGGCUCCAACAAUUCGCAUUGGUCUCAAAUCAAUGACAUGCAUUUCGAUGACCAUGAGUUCUUGGUGGACGAGGAUGGUGAGGGCAUUGUCGACGCACCGAAAGGAAGAGGAGGCAACUACACCAACGAAGAAAACGUCUUACUAUGCAAUACUUGGUUGCAAGGGUCGAAGGAUCCAUCCGUUGGAGGUGAUCAAAGUAGAGAUGCUUAUUGGAACCGGAUGAAGGAGCACUUUGAUCUACACAACAAGAGUAGAAUUGACCGCUCCGACCGAUAUCUUCGCUCCGUCGACAAUCAACAAAGAUUGUCAGAAGUGGGCGGCCGCACAAAAGGCGGUUGA
This 381-nucleotide ribosomal RNA is filed under the name Triticum aestivum (bread wheat). RNAcentral describes it as "partial small subunit ribosomal RNA". The record is from RNAcentral. Lineage: Eukaryota; Viridiplantae; Streptophyta; Magnoliopsida; Poales; Poaceae.